Molecule: transfer RNA, 72 nt
Filed under: Diaphorina citri (Asian citrus psyllid)
Lineage: Eukaryota; Metazoa; Arthropoda; Insecta; Hemiptera; Psyllidae
Rfam family: tRNA
About the family: Transfer RNA (tRNA) molecules are approximately 80 nucleotides in length. Their secondary structure includes four short double-helical elements and three loops (D, anti-codon, and T loops).
Source: Rfam by way of RNAcentral
GCCUAGUUAGCUUAGUUGGAGUGCGUCUGCCUUGCAAGCGCUAGGCCGCGGGUUCGAUUCCCGCCCGGGGCA